RNAcentral lists this ribosomal RNA (444 nucleotides) under uncultured bacterium. Its description in RNAcentral is "bacterial SSU rRNA". It matches the Rfam family "Bacterial small subunit ribosomal RNA", at positions 331 to 792 of the family's 1533-position model. The record is from RNAcentral.
CCAGACUCCUACGGGAGGCAGCAGUGGGGGAUAUUGCACAAUGGGGGGAACCCUGAUGCAGCGACGCCGCGUGGGUGAAGAAGCGCCUCGGCGCGUAAAGCCCUGUCAGCAGGGAAGAAAAUGACGGUACCUGAAGAAGAAGCCCCGGCUAACUACGUGCCAGCAGCCGCGGUAAUACGUAGGGGGCAAGCGUUAUCCGGAUUUACUGGGUGUAAAGGGAGCGUAGACGGCAAGGCAAGUCUGGGGUGAAAGCCCGUGGCUCAACCACGGGACUGCUUUGGAAACUGUGUUGCUGGAGUGCAGGAGGGGUAAGCGGAAUUCCUAGUGUAGCGGUGAAAUGCGUAGAUAUCAGGAGGAACACCGGUGGCGAAGGCGGCCUGCUGGACUGCGACUGACGUUGAGGCCCGAAAGCGUGGGGAGCAAACAGGAUUAGAUACCCCUGUA